RNAcentral lists this ribosomal RNA (495 nucleotides) under uncultured bacterium. RNAcentral describes it as "partial 16S ribosomal RNA". It matches the Rfam family "Bacterial small subunit ribosomal RNA", at positions 30 to 507 of the family's 1533-position model. The record is from RNAcentral.
UGAACGCUGGCGGCGUGCCUAAUACAUGCAAGUCGAGCGAACAGACGAGGAGCUUGCUCCUCUGACGUUAGCGGCGGACGGGUGAGUAACACGUGGAUAACCUACCUAUAAGACUGGGAUAACUUCGGGAAACCGGAGCUAAUACCGGAUAAUAUAUUGAACCGCAUGGUUCAAUAGUGAAAGACGGUUUUGCUGUCACUUAUAGAUGGAUCCGCGCCGCAUUAGCUAGUUGGUAAGGUAACGGCUUACCAAGGCAACGAUGCGUAGCCGACCUGAGAGGGUGAUCGGCCACACUGGAACUAAGACACGGUCCAGACUCCUACGGGAGGCAGCAGUAGGGAAUCUUCCGCAAUGGGCGAAAGCUUGACGGAGCAACGCCGCGUGAGUGAUGAAGGUCUUCGGAUCGUAAAACUCUGUUAUUAGGGAAGAACAAAUGUGUAAGUAACUAUGCACGUCUUGACGGUACCUAAUCAGAAAGCCACGGCUAACUACGUG